GUGCUCAUUUCAGAUGCACAUAUACUAAAAUUGGAACACUACUGAGAUUAGCAAGGCCCCUGCAUAAAAAUGACAUGGAAAUUUUUGAGGUAUUUCAUAUUUUU
Molecule: small nuclear RNA, 104 nt
Organism: Sorex araneus (European shrew)
Lineage: Eukaryota; Metazoa; Chordata; Mammalia; Eulipotyphla; Soricidae
Source: RefSeq, a predicted model, not a curated record